This is an RNA transcript of Capsicum annuum, 1931 nucleotides long. RefSeq lists it as uncharacterized. The transcript is spliced from 4 exons. The record is from RefSeq and is a predicted model, not a curated record. Lineage: Eukaryota; Viridiplantae; Streptophyta; Magnoliopsida; Solanales; Solanaceae.
AGGGCAAAAUAGUCAAUUUAGCUAACAAAAAAUCUUCUUUUGUAACUGUUUGAGUUAUCUCUGUCCAUAUGAUCAUAUUCUCGAUCCUUAUUCUUUGUCUCUUCUUCUCUCUUCUCUUCUUUCACCUGACAAUUCUUAACGACGCUAAAUUCAAACUGUGAUUCACAUUACCUGUACAUUUAAAUUAUGUAUGUCGAUUUAGUAGUAGUACAAAAUUUUGGAGUGAUAAUCUUUAGAGCCAAAGGAAAGAAUCAUGGGUUUGGCAGAGCGAGGGAGAAAUGAUGAACGAGAAAGAAGUCCUACUCACUAUAAACGGAUACACCACAAGAUUGUCUCUAAAAUUCAUUUGGAUUUGUUUGAGCUUGAAGAUGGUGAGAAGCCACAACUCACAUGUCAAUGGAAUGGAAGAAGACAAUGUAGUUGGUUCAUACAUGAAUUAUUGAUCCAGUUGAAGAACAUGCCCGAAAGUGACUGCCUCUUGCCUAUCUUUCUGUCGGCUCCCAGUUCUCUAUAUGUUUCAGCUACAGGUUCCUUCAAUAGACUACUUUAGCAAUAUCACUACAAAAUUGAAGUACCGGAAGCAGCACAUGAAGAGAUCACUAUUGCUGAUUCUUUUUUAAAAAAUGUUAUCCAACGUCUACUUCAGAUAGAAGGGACUCUAAUAGCAUAAUUCAUGUAUUUGGGAACAGUCGUGGGUUAAUGGAAACAAUUCCAGACAUAUGCAACAAAACAUUGUCCACCACCGGGUGAACUUGUCCUUUGGAUAAUGCGUUCUAUGAUGAUUCAGUUAUUUGGGGUUUGAUUGCACCAAGAAGGAUUUUCGGGGAUUUAGGAACUUAUGGGAUAGUCAAUUGGUUCUUCUUAUUUGGUGAGAUAGCACCAGUACUUGUGUGGUUAGCAGCCAGGGCUUUCCCUAAACAAGAAUGAAUCAAACUCAUCACCAUGCCAGUUUAAUAGGAGCCACAGGGAUGAUGCCAACUGCCAUAGUUGUGAACUACACAACCUGGAUCAUCGUAGGGUUCUUGUCGGGCUUUGUUGUUUAUCUAUAUAGGCCAGAUUGAUGGCAGCGUCAUAACUACAUUCUUUCAAGUGCACUUGAUGCUUUGGCAUUUCUGGCAAUUCUUAUAUAUUUGUUCUUGGGCUUUGAGAAAAAUAAUUGUUAAUUGGUGUUGAGAUGAUCCAUUCUUAUGCUUCGUAUCCAAUAGCUAGAGGGAUUUUUAAAGAGGAUUGCCCUGUUGUUUAUUAAAUUGUGUUGUGUUGUGAAGAAGAAGAACCACAAAUACUCCAUAGAAUUCCUCAAUAUUACUUGCCCGAAUGCAUCUUAUUACUGGCUGCUAAAUGGGGAAAGUUAUAACUGCAGCAUUGUUUCAUUUGACUUGGGCAGUGUGGUGUUUUGCGGGGGUUGGAUUGCCAGACCGUCCAUAAACUUUCUACAAUUGGAGGCCAAAACUGAUAAUAUUUGAUCACUCUAUUGCCCUCUUGAUCAUGGUUGACACAUUUGUUUAUGAUUUAAGGGUAAUGAUCUAACCAGGGGUUUGGAACAAACUUCUUACCUUUAAAUGCUGUGAUAUUUUAAUGUCUUGAAAUCUUAACACUGUCGUUUUUGCAACCACACUCUCUUGCCUGUUCUCGUGUGACAUUAGGACCCAGAAGAUGAUGUCAUCUUGCCCGGUGGAGAGACUGCACACAUGGUGGUUGUUCAGUUCAUUUACAAGGAGAGCUCAGUGACAAUCAAAUGAUGGAAUAGAGAGUUGGGACCUUGCAGUUUGGCUGACAUUUUUGACUCUCAAAUUUUGCUUUGAAGGUUGUUAGUAUUUCUGUGUUGUUUCAGUUAUAACUUUACAAUUGCUAUCCUUUGGCUCAAAGAUCACAAUCUCACUUUCUUGAAUAUUUGAUCGUCUUGUUAAAUUAUUUUGGUUCAAUUUGGAAUA